Non-coding RNA from Caenorhabditis elegans, 209 nucleotides. The record is from Ensembl. NCBI's taxonomy places the organism in Eukaryota, Metazoa, Nematoda, Chromadorea, Rhabditida, Rhabditidae.
AUAACUUCAACUCAAUUCCCAUCUAUCUCUUGGUUCUCAACAAUCUCCAAUUUCAUUCGGAACGGCAAAACUGCGCACACUAUUGGGGGCCACUUUUCUGUGGUUCGGGGGGCGAGAUGUUAUUCGAUACUAUUUGGUAUAAUAAUUUAGGAAAGCUAAUUGAAUCGAAAUGUGUGGCAUUUUCUCAGGAGUCAGUGGCAGAUAAAAUG